RNAcentral lists this ribosomal RNA (148 nucleotides) under Salinivibrio sp. PR919. Its description in RNAcentral is "partial 16S ribosomal RNA". It matches the Rfam family "Bacterial small subunit ribosomal RNA", at positions 1 to 128 of the family's 1533-position model. Lineage: Bacteria; Pseudomonadati; Pseudomonadota; Gammaproteobacteria; Vibrionales; Vibrionaceae. The record is from RNAcentral.
ACUUUAAUUGAAGAGUUUGAUCAUGGCUCAGAUUGAACGCUGGCGGCAGGCCUAACACAUGCAAGUCGAGCGGAAACGGCAGUAUUGAAGCUUCGGUGGAUUUACUGGACGUCGAGCGGCGGACGGGUGAGUAACGGCUGGGAACCUG